RNAcentral lists this ribosomal RNA (19 nucleotides) under Juniperus ashei (Ozark white cedar). RNAcentral describes it as "partial 26S ribosomal RNA". Lineage: Eukaryota; Viridiplantae; Streptophyta; Pinopsida; Cupressales; Cupressaceae. The record is from RNAcentral.
CGCGUCCCCCCCCCCCCAC